This 414-nucleotide ribosomal RNA is filed under the name uncultured bacterium. RNAcentral describes it as "partial 16S ribosomal RNA". It matches the Rfam family "Bacterial small subunit ribosomal RNA", at positions 362 to 773 of the family's 1533-position model. The record is from RNAcentral.
UAUUUAUCAUUGUAGGCAACGUUGAACCAGCCACGUCGCGUGAAGGUUGCCGGCGCCUGGGGUUUUAACUUACUUUUAUACAGAAAUAAAGUGAGUUACGAUUGACUUUUUGCAUGUACUGUAUGUAUAAGCAUCGGCUAACUCCGUUCCCGCAGCCGCGGUAAUACGGAGGAUCCAAGCGUUAUCCGGAUUUAUUGGGUUUAAAGGGUGCGCAGGCGGAAGAUUAAGUCGGCGGUGAAAUUUUGCAGCUCAACUGUAAAAGUGCCAUCGAUACUGGUUUUCUUGAGUGUGGAUGAAGUAGGCGGAAUUUGUGGUGUAGCGGUGAAAUGCAUAGAUAUCACGAGGAACUCCGAUUGCGCAGGCAGCUUACUAGGCCAUAACUGACGCUCAGGCACGAAGGCGUGGGGAUCAAAC